CAAUCUACAAAAAUGAAAGCUGCAACUGUUUGCAGUUAAUUAUUAUUGUGAAAAAAAUACUACUUUAUAGUGAAGUUUUACCUAUUUAAAGCCAUUAGGAAACUAAAAGUGAAUCUCUAAACCCGCAUCGCAAGCCAUAUCCCUUUUACCAAUAACAAUAUGACUAAUUUUAUGGCCCCGGAACCGCUCAGUCCCGGAAAGGAACUGGCAUAGACCCCUAGCUACUGCUGUAGACAUGGCAGCCGUCUAGGGUGGGCGCAGAUUGCAGAAGGCCUCUUUUUGCUCAGGGUCUUUGGUGCGGGAAGGCUAUCGGAAGCGUGAAUAUAGGUGCUUGGUCGAUAAGAUGGUCGGUUAGUCGUUGGACGAUAAUGCGACGGUCGGGUGCCUUGACGGUGCCUUGAUGCAACCCACGAGCAUUCGGUCGUCAAAGUCACCCGCGGGAGGCCAAACGGGAACGCAGCCGUCUCGUGGCCGAAGGGUGGUGAGACCCUAAAUUGAUAAGGCAGCUGGAAUGUCGUACAAGCAACAGCUUCCGACAAGUGGCCGAGCGAUGUUGCGGUCAAACGAUAACGUAGCCGGCUCCCAACGAAUUGAGCCGAACUAGAAUCCAGGGUACGAAUGGGCGAUCGAGCAGGAUGCCAUUGGCAGGUGGCCGUAGCGACCUUUGACAGAUAGGUCAGAGCCGCGUCCUUUCUCGAGAAACUGCAGAUAUAAAUAUACGCAAAAAAAAACACUUGGCACCUCUGUCUUUAACUCUCCCACAAGAACCCUGUCGACCAAACGCUUAGGCUUCUGUCCCACCGCCUCAGGCUUGAGUACUCAUCCCUCACGGAAGCGCGUGUUUUAUCUUCCCUAUUUUCAUACUGUUAGAGGUCGCUCAAUCACCUGGUUUGCAUUUUGACGACCCACCGUAUAAAUUUAAUUUUACCGUUUGGAAACAAAAAACAAGUAAGAAGCCUUCACGCUUCAAUUAAUCAAAUAAAGAUAACUAAAUGUUACCACUGGUAACAUUUAGUUUUUGUUUCCCUUGGAAUUCGAUUAAAAACAAGGAUUUUCCAUUUGCGACGCUCCUGCUGCAGAUUCUACUGAUGCACGCAAAAAUCGAAACUAUUCGCAAAGAAACGAAACAGAUUCAUCUAUCGUACUAUUCUAGAGCAAAAUUAUUUUCAUUAUUUGAAUUGAUCACGAUCAUAAGAACAACAUUGAUGUAGGCAAGGAUGUAGGUGAAUCUGAUCUGUACCGAAAUUUUGCAAGUUCAAGCUGAAGAGUUAUAUCGAGUGUGUAUUGGAAUGCUAUCAGGGAUACAUGAUUCUGCCGAUAACAUGCGUGGACGUACGGUCCUUGAAACUUUUGAGCAUCCUCGGGCCGCCGCCAUUACAUGUUCAUCCUUAAAUAGAUUCACAGUUUGGUCAAAAUUCAUGCAAAAAAAUGCAAACGUAAUUUGCCAAAGUAAU
This is a long non-coding RNA of Armigeres subalbatus, 1454 nucleotides long. RefSeq lists it as uncharacterized. The record is from RefSeq and is a predicted model, not a curated record. Lineage: Eukaryota; Metazoa; Arthropoda; Insecta; Diptera; Culicidae. The transcript has 3 exons.